GACGAACGCUGGCGGCGUGCUUAACACAUGCAAGUCGAACGGAAAGGCCCUGCUUUUGUGGUGUGCCCGAGUGGCGAACGGGUGAGUAACACGUGAGUAACCUGCUCUUGACUUUCGGAUAACUUCAGGAAACUGGGGCUAAUACCGGAUAGGAGCUCCCGCUGCAUGGUGGGGGUGGGAAAGUUUCGGCGGUUGGGGAUGGACUGGCGGCUUAUCAGCUUGUUGGUGGGGUAGUGGCUUACCAAGGCUUUGACGGGUAGCCGGCCUGGGAGGGUGACCGGCGUCAUGGGGACUGCGGUAGGCCGCAGUCGGCAAUGGGGGGCAACAGGGGCGAGUAUGGCCCAGUGAGAGGAAGCCUGAGACGACGGCGCCGCGGGCGGAAUGACGGCCUUCGGGUUAUGAACCGCUUUCGCCUGAGACGAAGCGGGAGUGACGGUAAUGAGUAAAGAAGCACCGGCUAACUACGUG
RNAcentral lists this ribosomal RNA (468 nucleotides) under uncultured bacterium. RNAcentral's name for it is "partial 16S ribosomal RNA". It matches the Rfam family "Bacterial small subunit ribosomal RNA", at positions 28 to 507 of the family's 1533-position model. The record is from RNAcentral.